GACGAACGCUGGCGGCGUGCUUAACACAUGCAAGUCGAACGGAAAGGCCCUGCUUUUGUGGGGUGCUCGAGUGGCGAACGGGUGAGUAACACGUGAGUAACCUGCCCUUGACUUUGGGAUAACUUCAGGAAACUGGGGCUAAUACCGGAUAGGAGCUCCUGCUGCAUGGUGGGGGUUGGAAAGUUUCGGCGGUUGGGGAUGGACUCGCGGCUUAUCAGCUUGUUGGUGGGGUAGUGGCUUACCAAGGCUUUGACGGGUAGCCGGCCUGAGAGGGUGACCGGCCACAUUGGGACUGAGAUACGGCCCAGACUCCUACGGGAGGCAGAAGUGGGGAAUAUUGCACAAUGGGCGGAAGCCUGAUGCAGCAACGCCGCGUGCGGGAUGACGGCCUUAGGGGUGUAAACCGAUUUCGCCUGUGACGAAGCGUGAGUGAAGGUAAUGGGUAAAGAAGCACCGGCUAAAUACGGG
This 468-nucleotide ribosomal RNA is filed under the name uncultured bacterium. RNAcentral describes it as "partial 16S ribosomal RNA". It matches the Rfam family "Bacterial small subunit ribosomal RNA", at positions 28 to 507 of the family's 1533-position model. The record is from RNAcentral.